Long non-coding RNA from Gorilla gorilla gorilla (western lowland gorilla), 5195 nucleotides. RefSeq lists it as uncharacterized. Lineage: Eukaryota; Metazoa; Chordata; Mammalia; Primates; Hominidae. The transcript has 3 exons. The record is from RefSeq and is a predicted model, not a curated record.
AAUUCGUUUUUAUAGAGUGUCAAGCCUUUUCAAUAAAGAGACGGUAAAUAUUGCAAAGUUUGUGGGUCAUUUGGUUUCUCAAAACUAGUCAAUGCUACCAAGUAGACAGAAAUCAGAUAUAGACAACACAUAAGCAAAUGGGCAUGACUGAAUUCCAAUAAAACUUUAUUUACAAACACAGUGGUGCACUGGAUUUUGCCUAUGGAUUAUAGUUUGCUGGACUUUUUUUCUGGACAUAUAAUACAAGUCCCUUUUUUUCUAUUUCCAAGUCACUCAGAUAAUGUAAAAUCCUAAUAAUCAAAUGCCCUAUUGCUCUGCCAACCAAUUUUAAACUGCGACCAAAUGCUUAAUAUUUGUGAACAUCCUUGUGGAAUCUGAUUUGUAGUCUUUCAUCUUCUGACAGCACUUGGUAUAGGUCCAUUAGAAUGCAACCAACAAGGACAGAAGAUAGCAGAAAAAACAAGCAGCGGAGCAAGUGUCCACAACCCUUGACUCUGAUGGGCACAAGCAUAGGUCUCAUCACCAAGAAAAGAGGUUUAGAAACAAUGUCUCAUGAUAUCAGAAGAUGUUAUGUCCCCGCUUUAUGCUAGCACAUCAUCUGAUACAGAAUAAAACGCAGUAAAUCAGGGAAUAAAUGAUGAGUACAGGGGAUUCUGGCUCACAAAAAAAUCAUUUUCAGCAUGGACUGCCUGAGUUUAUGAUAAUAUUGACAUCACCUUCAAGAAAUUCUCCCUGUUUUUUUUCUUUAACUCAUCUAUGGAGUGAUAACAUUUUCUUAGCUGUUUUUGUCUCCAUAAUUAAAAUAGGUAUUAGUGCCUAAGUGAAUUCUGUAGUAAGGAUAUAGCAAAAUGCUUGCCAUAUAGAGGGCAUAACAGUUUGUAGAAUGAAUGGAUGGAUGGAUGCAAAGCAUCAGACAGAAUGUUUCAAGUGAGAAAUCUAUCCUAAUCUGAAACAUACCAUUAGGUAGGAACUCUAGACAGACAGAUGGAUAGAUAGAUAGAUAGCUUUAGCUGUAAAUAUUAAAUAAUAAUAGAGACAUAGAAACAGGACAAGGUGGAAGCUUAAUAAUUAUUACCUAUAACAGAGGAAUUCCCUCAGGAAGAAUUUACCUAAGCCUUCUAUGUGCUUCCUUGGUUCCUUGUUCAUUAUGACAUUUAGCUUAGGAAGUUGGAAUUAGUUAUUUCUGCUUUGUCUCCAUUUCUUAAUCAUGAGACUCUUGAAGACAGGAAUCAUAGUUGACUCAGGAAUUAUAGUUGUUUCAUCUCUCUCUCUCUGUCUCAGACCCCAAUGCAUUUCUUCUAUGACUCACUGCAAGGCUUUAUAUAAUAAUAAAAAAAACCUUCACAACUAUUUGAAGAAUAAAGGAUUUUGGAUGCCUGGCAAAAGAAUGUAAGUGCUAUCACUUCAGGACUACCAAGAUGGUAUUUCUCUAGCUCAGAGUUUCACCUGCGGUUAUCACUUCCCACAUGGAAAGGGACUGGGUUUCACUGCAGGAGCUCUGAGUUCUAUUGUGGUUAAGUCCAGUCCCCUUUGGUGAGGCUGAGAUGAGGACUAGUCUGGAUACAACUCCUGAAACUAAAGGUGCAUUAAAUCACAGUGAUGUAGCUGUCAUCCAAAUCCUGGAGGCCACUCUGGCAAAUCAUCCUAACCCCUUUGUCCAAGGAUAUAUUUUUCUUUGGCUUGAGUGUUUACAAUGUAACCAUAAUCCUAGUUAAGCAUCAUCCUUUACCUGUAAAUGCUACUGUCAGAGCAUGACAUACUGGAAACUUAAAGCUAUUUUAAAUGUAGGGCUUUGAGAAAUAAAAAAACUAAUUAGCUUCUCACUAUCAAUUUUUUUUUGCAUUUGAAAUUUCCUUUGUUGAGUUUACUUAAAAUAUGGAAUAUCCUUUGUGAAAAUAGAACAUUCCUGCUAUUAAACUGAAAAUGACAAUGACGAUAGCACUUUGACAAGAUAACACAGUGAUAAAAACAUUUUGUAGCAAACACUUCAUAUGCCAGAAUUAGAAUCAAGCAAACACUCUUUUCCCUUCCUGAAGCAUUACAGAAAAGAGGAAAAACCUUUUUAGAGAGGAAGAAAAAAUAUUUUUUGACAUGUGCAUCUUAGCUUGGUUACAAGAGCUAAGAAACCAAUACAACCUAGCAACAUGCUGGCCCAAACUGGCCAACAAUAAAAUAGAAAGGGGAAAAAAUAAACCUCCAGUGCCAGAUCCAUCUCAAGUGGAAAUUUUCUUGGUGCUUGAGCACCAGAGUCAUCAUUAAACUCUGGAGAAAUUCCCCAGCCUCAGGAACACUGGAAACAAAUACCCAAAUGAGGGUACUAUUUAUUUAAAAUAAGGGUACCAUACUGAAAGUGAUUCAAGAAGUAUGAAGGCUAGAGAGAGCAAAUGAAGGAAUGAAUGAAGGAGAGACCAACAGGACAGAAGACAGAGAUCUUACUGCAGUGGGCCAGAGAUGAUAUCUGGGUGUCUGGAUACGACGUGAGUGCAGGCGUACACAUGAACAGCUCAUGGUUCCCCACCAAUCCUCCUCGAUGAGUAUUCAUUGUCUGAAAUGGAAACCUCAUAAGCCAGUUAUGAGCACUAAGCAGGAUCUAACUUCCCAUCCUGAUUUGGCAUUAUGUAAACCUCUGUGAGCUCAAUGGAUUUCCAGGGGCCUAAGGUCUUCAUCUAUGGAGUGGGAGUAAGGCAUGAUCCUUUAGGAGCCUUUGCUAGUGGUGAAAAGAAUUCACCAUCCCUAUGUAGCCCGUAAAGACUGUAGAAUCACAUGAUGGCUCGUUUUUUCUAAGUAAUACUUAGUGAAAGUUUAAUCUAAAGUCAACUACAUCAUGUGCUCAAGUCAACUAAAGUACUAUUAUAAUGCAGAGCACCAACAUAUUAAUGGAAUAUGAGGAAGGUUCCAUUAAAAUUUUCCUAUUUAUGUAGUGUUCUAUUGUCCAAAAAGUACUUUCUCAUUGAGUCUCAUGUUUGAACCUCACAACAAGCAGAGUGAAAAAGGUCUAAUGAUUAUUCCAGAUUUACAAAUGAAAACAUUGAGGCUUAGUAAGACCCAACGAUGUAACUGAAGACCCAUCUUUGACCACAGGCCUUAUGUGCUGACUAUAUCCCACAGCUUUUUUCAUCCAGUCUUCCCUCACCUUUAAUUAUGAAAGAGGAACACUUUUUGAGAAAAAUAUGCUAAAGUAGCCAUGACAGAGCAGAGAAGGCUCAGGUCAGGACAGCUGUGAUACAUUACAGAAAUGACCGGCAGUGACUCUUCUUCAAAGAACGUGUUUGAGGUAAGCUCAGGUGCUCAGAUGCUCUCUCUUAAAUCCAUGCAGACAGGGUGGAGCUGAUGCUUGUUCUGAGGUCCCCAUAAUAGCCAGGACUAAUGUGAAUGCACUCUCUGUCUCACAUCCACACCUCCUUUAUUGUCUCUUGAAAGUACACAAAGGGGACCAUAGGGAAUGGCAGGGAAAGGUUUCUUAACCUUGGAAAGGCAUUAGUACCAGCUGUGUCCUGAGGUAUAAACACGCUAAGUCAAACAAAACCCAAGAGAGGGCAGGAGAAAAGGAACAAGUGAAUCAAGUGUUCUGUUUACAGUCCUUGCAGGCAAAUAUUUUUUUUUCAACUAAUGAAAGAUCCAUUCAUGAAGCCCUAUCUCCCAAUUAAGCAGGCACUUUCCAUCAGGCACGACAGCAGAUGCUCUUUACCGGAUCAAGCCAGGCCCCCUGAUACAGUGAGCCCUGUGUGAGGACCACAGCUGGCAUCCCAAAGUCAGCAGAGUCCUGCACAGGGUGGGCCCAGGUCGGGGCUGGAUGGUGGGAAGUGCAGUGUGUUCACCUCCACCCUCUUCUGCAAGUGAGCUUACACAGGGAAAUCCAGAGUAGAAGUGAACAGUUCAAAACAGGGGUUCCAACUGUUAAGAAGAAGGGUGAGUGGAUGAAAAGAAGUAAAUAUUAGUUGAAUACCUAUUAUGGGCCAAGAACUAGGCCAGACACUGGCAUGUUAUCUAGCUCAAUUAACAGCAACACUCUGCUUGGCACAUAUUCACAGUAAGGCUCAGGCAGGGGAAGCAACCUAGCUAGACGCAAAUGUCCAGGAACUGGCAAUGAGAUGUGUAUUGAGGUUGCAAUGAUUCCAGAGACUCUGUUUGUUCCUUUUAUAGCUUCCUGAUGAUUUGUUCGGUUUAUGCAUCUAAGCUUCAGCACCAUGUGAUAGAAAGGGAACUUGUGUUUUGUUCCUAGCUGAGAAACUUUUUGGCUUUCUGCCAAAUGUGGGGCAUCAGUUGAGGUGAUUUCUAAGGAACAUUUAAGAUCUGGUAAUGUUCCAAUUCUGUGGCAUAUAGGAGCUUUUUGUACUUAAAUGUAGCAAGAUAUCAGUGGUUUUGAGGUUGUGCCCCACAAAAUACCAAUUUGCUUUGGGUAACUCUAUAUGCACAUCCUUGCCUUUAUGGGCAACCUGACUCCUAUGGCCUCAGUUGCAUCAUUAGUAAAACAGAUAACAAAAACUCUGCCUACAAUCAUUCAAAAAUUCGCAAGGAGAACCAACUGAGUUUAUAGUACUUUGUAUGCAAAGAGUUAUUUUACAGAUAAAAUCAGCAUCAUUGUUCUUCCAGGGGCUAGCUUACAGGGUUCCUGAUCAUUCACUGGUAGCCAGGACUGCCUCAGUAAACAGAACUUUGGGUAUGGUUCUGUUUACCAUAUUAUGCUCCAGGUGACCAACUGAGGUUCUGGCUGACCAUCCUUGGUCACUCCCUGACUAAGGAAUAAAUCCUGAAGGAAAAAGAAGAAAACGUUGAUACUUGUACCCUAGGGUGAAUGAAUGAAGCUAUGAAAGUAUCUGUCCCUAGCAGGUUGCCACACAAUAUCCAUAAUAUCAUUUCUUCCUAACAACAACCCUGAUAAAAGGAAAAAAUAUCUUCUUCAUUUUACAGGGAUGAGGACAGGACCCCGAAUACAGAUGCUUCAGAUGCUUCUGAAAAUCAUAUUUAUGAAGAAUUGCUUAAGCACUGAGGAUGGCCAUCCAAAUGGAGAGACGACUGAAGAGAUUUGAAGCAACCUUCUGAAAUAAACCAAACUGUAUUAUUUGAAGAUCAUUCUCUGAAGUCCAAAGAUGAAACAGAUCAAACACCAUAUCAUUUGUUAAGAGUACUUCUACAAAUUGGGGUUGCUGUACUCCAGAAAAUCAAAGAACUAAGGUAACAAGUAAAUCUUUGUA